CAGUAGCCGCGGUAAUACGUAGGGUGCGAGCGUUAAUCGGAAUUACUGGGCGUAAAGCGUGCGCAGGCGGUUUGUUAAGACAGAUGUGAAAUCCCCGGGCUUAACCUGGGAACUGCAUUUGUGACUGGCCGGCUAGAGUAUGGCAGAGGGAGGUGGAAUUCCACGUGUAGCAGUGAAAUGCGUAGAUAUGUGGAGGAACACCGAUGGCGAAGGCAGCCUCCUGGGCCAAUACUGACGCUCAUGCACGAAAGCGUGGGGAGCAAACAGGAUUAGAUACCCCUGUAGUCCCUGUCUCUUAUAC
Molecule: ribosomal RNA, 301 nt
Filed under: uncultured bacterium
Lineage: Bacteria
Description: partial 16S ribosomal RNA
Rfam family: Bacterial small subunit ribosomal RNA
Source: RNAcentral